RNAcentral lists this long non-coding RNA (994 nucleotides) under Solanum tuberosum (potato). Its description in RNAcentral is "long non-coding RNA (STUB_LNC004150)". The record is from RNAcentral. Lineage: Eukaryota; Viridiplantae; Streptophyta; Magnoliopsida; Solanales; Solanaceae.
AUUGGACAUAAUUUGGCUUAUAUAUAAACGAUAACAUAAUUUGUCCCUAGUGUGUAGUUUAUAUAGUGCAGCCAGUCUCGAGAUAAAGAUACAUCUAGGUGAUCCCAAGUUGUUACACACAAAUCUUCUCCAUUCAACCUUCUGACGGAGCUUCACAUAAAUUUACUUGAUUGAGAAAUGCUCCAUCUCAUUUAACUCAGCCAUGCUAAACCCAGCUUUCUCAACAUAUUUGGUAGCAUUUAAGAUUCUCUGAAAUCUGCCUUGGUACUUCUUAUAUAGCACCCUAUUCCUACCAUAGUAACACUCGAUCAACUUGAUACUGUCUGUAUUUUAUAUGCACACGUAGUCGGUAGUCCUUAUUUUAAAAAAAAAAAACAGUUUUUUCUCUUUUUACAGGUAUUGCGUGCUGGCUAUUCUGUAGCUGCACCAGUGGAUUGGUGUUGUGAAAUAUGUGAAACUGGCAAGAGGGUUAUUUCUUCAUACUCUGAGGGAUCCAAGUUACAUGCCUCAGCAAAGAUUUGUCAGACUACUCUGCCACCAAAAUAUCGUAUUAAGUUUCCAAGUGGGCAUAGUAUUAACUGGGAAAAGGAGGUACACACAGGGAAAACAAGAUAUCUACCUGUUGAAGAAGCACUCAGUCUAUCAUCGGACAUCAAGAAAUAUGGGUGUCCACGGAAGAAAACUGUGUCUUCAAGAGUUCUGUCAACCAAAUCCACGACGAUUGAGACUCGAGGGAAUUUAAGCAAACCUAGAACUUAGAUUUCAGAUGCCUUUCCUAAGAAGAGAACAGUGCAGCGUUCUUUAGGAUCGGCAGGAUAUAUGAAACCUCGCAAUUUCCCAAAUUUCAGAAAACUAAACUGAGCAUAAAACAAGUAUAAUCUUCUAAAGGUUAAUUUUCACCAACAUUUCUUGUAUUCAUUACUUGUUCAAAUAUAUACUUUUCUUAUAUGUUCAUUCAUCAAAAAAUUGAUUUUCUAUCAUAUAAUUUUAUAAU